RNAcentral lists this ribosomal RNA (499 nucleotides) under uncultured Glomeromycotina. RNAcentral describes it as "partial small subunit ribosomal RNA". It matches the Rfam family "Eukaryotic small subunit ribosomal RNA", at positions 591 to 1092 of the family's 1831-position model. Lineage: Eukaryota; Fungi; Glomeromycota. The record is from RNAcentral.
CCAAUAGCGUAUAUUAAAGUUGUUGCCGUUAAAAAGCUCGUAGUUGAAUUUCGGGAUCAAUUUAUUGGUCGUGCUAUUGUACGUACUGGUAUUAUUGAUUCCUACCUUCUGACGAACCAUGAUGUCAUUAAUUUGGUGUCUUGGGGAAUCAGGACUGUUACUUUGAAAAAAUUAGAGUGUUUAAAGCAGGCUCACGCUUGAAUACAUUAGCAUGGAAUAACGAAAUAGGACGUUUGAUUCUAUUUUGUUGGUUUCUAGGAUCGACGUAAUGAUUAAUAGGGAUAGUUGGGGGCAUUAGUAUUCAAUUGUCAGAGGUGAAAUUCUUGGAUUUAUUGAAGACUAACUACUGCGAAAGCAUUUGCCAAGGAUGUUUUCAUUAAUCAAGAACGAAAGUUAGGGGAUCGAAGACGAUCAGAUACCGUCGUAGUCUUAACCAUAAACUAUGCCGACUAGGGAUCGGAUGAUGUUAAUUUUUUAAUGACUCAUUCGGCGCCUUACG